Molecule: long non-coding RNA, 2261 nt
Organism: Oncorhynchus masou masou (cherry salmon)
Lineage: Eukaryota; Metazoa; Chordata; Actinopteri; Salmoniformes; Salmonidae
Exons: 2
Source: RefSeq, a predicted model, not a curated record
AUCUCUCUAUCUCCCCUGGUUUCUAUUCAUCUCUCCCUGGUCUCUAUUCAUCUCUCCCUGGACUCUAUCCAUCUCUCCCUGGUCUCUAUCCAUCUCUCCCCUUCUCCCUGGCCAAACGAGGAGGUAGGAGAGGAGGAGGUAGGAGAGGAGGAGGUAGGAGAGGAGGAGGUAGGAGAGGAGGAGGAGGAGGUAGGAGAGGAGGAGGAGGUAGGAGAGGAGAAGAGAGGCUACUAAUGAAGGACGAGGUAGGCUCCAGGUCCUAUAUUCACAAAGCGUUUCACAGUAGGAGUGCUGAUCUCGGAUCAGAUCCUCUCUGUCCAUGUAGUUCUUAUUCACUACAAUCUAAAAGGCUACACUGAUCCUAGAUCAGCACUCCUACUCGGUUGCUUUAUGAAUACAGACCUAUAAAUGAUAGAAAAGCAUCUAAGAUGACAGCUUUUUAAUAUGGCCCAUGUUAAACAACAACAUUAAAAACAACUCUACUUAAUGCUUGUCUUUACAAAUCCUCCUGUACCAGUCCUGCACCAAUCAUGUACCAAUCCUGUACCAGUCCUGCACCAAUCAUGGAUGGAAUGGAUCCUCUGUGCCAUAAUAACAGAGAGAGAGAGAGAGAGACACACGGGUCUGUCGGGUCGAUAGAACCACUAAAGACAACAUUAAAGAGAGAUGUCAAACAUUUUUUUUUUACAACUUCAUAUUCAUCAUCUCCAUCACCACCUCAACAUCAACGUGUGAGAAAACAGCGCGUUUUUGUUGUUGUUGUUGUUGUAAACAAUAUAAUUACGAGCGUUGCCAAUGACAUGCAAUGGCGUCUCCAUAAUUGUUUAAAACCACAUGAUGCACACUGAUGAUGUCAUUGGAAACAUUGUCUUCUUCUUCUUCUUUUUUUAAAGAAGAAAUGCUUCAUUUACACGUGUUGAUGUUGGUGCUGCAUGAUGAAUAUAAAUAUUUGGAAACAUUAAUACAUUUUUAUUUUUUUUAUUUAUUUUAUGUUUUAUUUAACUGACUUGCCUAGUUAAAUAAAGGUUAAGAACAAAUUCUUAUUUACAAUGGACGGCCUAGGAACGGUGGGUUAACUGCCUUGUUCAGGGGCAGAAUGAUAGAUUUUUACCUUGUCAGUUCGGGGAUUUGAACUUGCAACCUUCAGGUUACUGGCCCAAGCACUCUAACCACUAGGCUACCCUGCCGAUUAGUCUAUCUAUUAUAUAUUUACAUAAUAUGCUGGUAGAUAUUGGGAGAAGAAGACUAAAUCCUUGCUAAUAGAACAUGUUUAAAUGUACCUACCUGAUGCCAUUUAUUCAGUAAUAUAAUAUAUAGUAGACGAUGGUAAGCUGAAGAAGCAGCACGAACAUGUCAACUUCACUGGGCACUGCUGUGCCUGUUAAUACAAGCCUGUUGAAUGGUAGGAGAGGAGGAGGUAGGAGAGGAGGAGGUAGGAGAGGAGGAGGUAGGAGAGAACACAUUCCGAACCCAAAGAGAUAAAUGCUUAUGUAGUGCUUAUGAAUGUUUUAUGGAUGGGUUAUGAAGUCCUUAUGUAGGUACCCUUCAAGUAAAAUGUUGCCUGCCUUUUUCCAUAUUCAUAAUUAUAUCUCUUAUUGACAAGAGGGUCAGAAGGACUGGGUUGUGUUCAUUGGGUACCAAACGGAAGAAAACAAAUUGGAAACGGGGUGGCACGAACUUAACUUGUUCAAUGAGAAAUGCACAUUUUUUUUCUCUUUCCGUUGCAAAACAUUUUAUUUUAUUUCAUUCUGUGCCCUAAUAAACAAGAGCUUGUUAUAAUUGGGCGCAAGUCAACAUUAUAAGUCAGUCAUUACAGAAUACAUAGUCUAUGACCAUUGGAACAAUGGAAACAUGCUACUUUACCUGUCGUUGUCAAUUUGUGAUGGGUGAAAGCGAAGGACAUUAAGACGGCACAGCAGCAUGUGCAUGUACAUUAUUGUAAAAUGUAAAACAUACUGUAUUUUCAACUCUUAUGUUGUUUUUCGGCAUUUCUUUCUUCUUUUGACGUAAGUAAUGAUCUGAAUUAACUGAAGGAAGUGUGACAGCGCUCUGUUCUACAACGUUGAACUUCUUGGUCUGAGCAAAUCCUGUUGCCGGGGAAAUGUGAUUUUAGAAAUGUUAUCGUUUAUUAACGAAUCUGUUCCGAUUGAAAUGGAAUGACUCGUAACUGCGGUUUAAUCUUCGCCAUAAGGUUAUUUUCAUAUUGUUAAAGGCUUUCCUAGCUUCCCAUGACAGUUGAAAAAUAAAGGUGUAGAACUGAA